Molecule: long non-coding RNA, 2283 nt
Filed under: Lactuca sativa (garden lettuce)
Lineage: Eukaryota; Viridiplantae; Streptophyta; Magnoliopsida; Asterales; Asteraceae
Description: long non-coding RNA (LSAT_LNC001261)
Source: RNAcentral
UCGAGUAGUUGAAAGAUCGUGCGUCUAGCCGGGGGAACUUAUGCAUGCCAAAAAAAUAUUAAAUUAAAUUAAAUUAGACUUCAUCAUAUCAAAAACCUACUGAAAAAUAUACUUAUAAAUUAAACAUUUUUUUAUCGUUCCAGCUAUUAAUUUUUACAACCAGAAAAUAGUGACAACAUUGAACAAGAACGGCAAACUGGUUUCCCUAGACAAUACGAAUCCAUCAACUAUAAAAAACUAACAUAAAUAAAACACUUUAGACAAUUAAGUUCUUCAUAAUGUAUGAAUGCCAUGUAUGUACAAACACGGGUGGAAAAUUACGCAUGUAAUAUGUUUAAAAUUAAUGCAACUUGGGAGACGAAGAAAAAUAAUAUUUUCAUUUUUGUUAUGUUUCCGCAAUUUGUUCGACAUCACACAACAAAGGAAAACGCAGCAUUUAAUUGUUAUUUAUGCGGCAUGUAAUUAACAAAAUAGAAGAUUAAUUUUUACUUUAUGAAUUUCUUUUUGGAAUAGAGAAAUUGAACGGUUCUAUAAAAUAAUACACAUUUUCAUCUAACAUCGUAUUUCCGUUCACGAUCACAACCGCAACACACGGUGGUGCUGUGGUGGUUUCACAUAUAGGGUGUUUGUCAGGGAUGUGGCUGAUGUUUAUCCACAUCCCAAUCACUGAAUUUUAUUACAUUUAUGCUACUUUCAAAAUUUUCAUUUCACCCCCUCGAUUCUUAUUUUUAAUUACAUUUUAGUUCUUGAUUGUUACAUGUAACCUUCAAGUUACUUAAUAUUAAAAUUUAGAUUUUACAUAACUAUAAUUAUAUUUAAUAUAUUUUGUAAAUGUUUUUCGCUACGGUAUGUAGCUCUGUAACGAAAUAGUUAAAGAUUUUCACUUCAUAGCAAAAUAACUAUGAAAUCUGGUAGUAGAAUAGAUACGCUACAAAAUUACAUUUCGUAGUAACAACCUACGAGUUUAACCCAAUAGAAUAGCAACGAAAUUUCAUUUCUUAGAAAAUAAAAAAACGAAAUAUAGUUUUGUGACAAAAUGUCAUAGCGAAAUAUCUACGGAAUAUAAUUUGGUAGCAAAAUAGCUACAAAGUUCUAUUGCGUAACAAAAUUCAGUAGGAUAAAUGCUACGGAGUUUUAUUCCAUAGCAAAGUAGUUACUCCAUUUAGUUCUAUAGAAAUUUAUGUAACAAGAUAGCUACGUAUUUUUAACCUUAGCAAAAUAGUUACGGAAUUCAGUUCGGUAGCAAAUUUCAUAGCAUAAUAGCUAUGGAAUUUAAUUUCGUAGUAAAACAGCUACGAAAUUAGUUUCCGUAAAAAAAUUAUGUGGCAUAAUAGCUACGAAAUAUCAUUGUGUAGCAUAAUAGCUACACAAAUUAGUUUCGUAGUAAUUUCCAUAGGAAAAUAGCUAGAUAUUUAGCAAAUUCGGUAGCCGACUAACUACAAAUUCUAAUUCCGUAACAAUUUUCCAUAAUUAGUUUGAAGUUUGCUACAAAAUUUUAUUUCGUAGUAAAUUUCGUAACAAAAAAGCUACGGAACAUCAUUCAGUAGCAUAAUCCAUCGCAAAAUAACUACGAAAUUUGAUUCCGUAGCCAGUGGCGGUCGGUAAUANAUUUAUAUAGAUUUUCAUUAUAUAAAUUCCAGUGAUGUUCAUAUGUUCUACUUUGGGCCCCUGUUUUUAGCACAUUUAAUAAAAUUUAAUAAUCAACAGAUCAAAUCAUCCACUGAUAAAUAGGAAAAAAAAUCACUUAUAAAACUAAUUGAUAGAAUCAAAAUAAUCUGUAGAACAUUAGGAAACUAAUUAAAUUAAGAAAUUAUCUCUAAACUCUAUAAAACGAAAUCAAAUUCGAAUCAAAGGUACACAUUCUUUAACUCAAGAUUUGAGUGUAAGGAAACAAUAAACACCUAGAAAUUUUGAAGCCGAAAUCGUCCAAAUCUCACUGUUGUCGCCGGUCCCCCAACUACAUCUCCCCCGCCGGUCUCUGUCUCUGCUCGCCGUACCACCGCUUCUCCGUCGCCGCACUUUUGCUUAUUUGCAUCGAUCUCUUUUCUUCGUCGUACACAACUCUCCCUCUCCGAUCUGCUCACAACAAGAGUAAUUUACCGGUGCUUUUCUUCUCUUUCUCUCGCUAUUCUUCUCUUUCUCUCUCUAACCCACUUAAACACUUUCUCUUUCUCUCUUUGUGGUUUAGAUUUUAGAUAAUGAAAGGAACGACGGAGUAAAAUAUAAGGGAUAUAGUACAUAUUUUACUGUUUACUUUAUCAAUGAUCACAUAAAUUAUAAUUU